RNAcentral lists this ribosomal RNA (244 nucleotides) under uncultured bacterium. RNAcentral's name for it is "partial 16S ribosomal RNA". It matches the Rfam family "Bacterial small subunit ribosomal RNA", at positions 1256 to 1500 of the family's 1533-position model. The record is from RNAcentral.
AGCGAUCUGGAGNAAACCCAAAAAAGACAGUCUCAGUUCGGAUUGAAGGCUGAAAUUCGCCUUCAUGAAGCCGGAAUUGCUAGUAAUGGCAGGUCAGCAUACUGCCGUGAAUACGUUCCCGGGCCUUGUACACACCGCCCGUCACACCAUGAGAGUUGGGAAUACCCGAAGCCUGUGAGCUAACUUUUAGAGGCAGCAGUCGAAGGUAGAAUCAAUGAUUGGGGUGAAGUCGUAACAAGGUACC